RNAcentral lists this ribosomal RNA (774 nucleotides) under uncultured Neocallimastigales. RNAcentral's name for it is "partial large subunit ribosomal RNA". It matches the Rfam family "Eukaryotic large subunit ribosomal RNA", at positions 24 to 644 of the family's 3401-position model. The record is from RNAcentral. Lineage: Eukaryota; Fungi; Neocallimastigomycota; Neocallimastigomycetes; Neocallimastigales.
UAUCUCUGUAGAGUCUGCAUAUCAAUAAGCGGAGGAAAAGAAACUAACAAGGAUUCCCUUAGUAACGGCGAGUGAAGCGGGAAGAGCUCAAAUUUGAAAUCUUCAAGGUUCUACCUUGACGAAUUGUAGUUUAAAGAAGUGUUUUCUGUUAGAUGAGUAGCAAAAGUUCCUUGGAAUGGGACAUCAUAGAGGGUGAGAAUCCCGUAUUUGGUUAUUCAUUCUAGCUUUGUGAUACACCUUCAAAGAGUCGGAUUGUUUGGGAAUGCAGUCCAAAAUGGGUGGUAAAUUUCAUCUAAAGCUAAAUAUUGGCGAGAGACCGAUAGCGAACAAGUACCGUGAGGGAAAGAUGAAAAGAACUUUGAAAAGAGAGUUAAACAGUACGUGAAAUUGUCAAAAGGGAAGCGUUUGACACCAGUGUUGUUUUUCCAAAAUCAAUUACGAAUGGCUUGAUUUUGUGUUGUAUUGACCUUAUCAGCUUUCUUCACUUUUUUCGAGUCUUUCUUAAUGCACUUUUCUGGUUAACAAGUCAACAUCAAUUUCUUUUGUUGUAAAAGAGUAUUCGGAAGGUGGCUUUCUUUUCGGAGAAAGUGUUUAUAGCCCUAUACUUCUACAAUCGGAGAGAUUGAGGUCUGCAGCGUAGAUCCUUCGGGGUUAGAUACACUUGUGCUAAGUUGUAGCUUUUCAUAGACAACUUGUUGACUAUGUUUAGUCAUGCGGCUUACUCGCUUAUGCUAUUUUACCUACGCUUAGGAUGUUGACUGAUAUGUAGUCGUA